Long non-coding RNA from Vidua macroura (Pin-tailed whydah), 224 nucleotides. RefSeq lists it as uncharacterized. The record is from RefSeq and is a predicted model, not a curated record. The transcript has 3 exons. NCBI's taxonomy places the organism in Eukaryota, Metazoa, Chordata, Aves, Passeriformes, Viduidae.
CCCUCCAUGACUGUCGGGACACCACCGUGCUCAUCUUAGAAGACUCCUUCAACAUGCUGAAUGAAAUCACCAUCUUACCUGAGGGAAAGUCGGUGCAGAUGCGGCUCAUGGCAGACACAGGAGCUGACGUGACCAUCAUCCCCCAGACUUUUGUAGCGCAGAUUUUAUCACCUGUGCGCCGGCUUUUCCCUGAGGCCAUCAUCCUGCAUUACAUGGAUGAUGUG